Molecule: ribosomal RNA, 460 nt
Filed under: uncultured bacterium
Lineage: Bacteria
Description: partial 16S ribosomal RNA
Rfam family: Bacterial small subunit ribosomal RNA
Source: RNAcentral
CCUACGGGUGGCAGCAGUGAGGAAUAUUGGUCAAUGGACGAGAGUCUGAACCAGCCAAGUAGCGUGAAGGAUGACUGCCCUAUGGGUUGUAAACUUCUUUUAUAUGGGAAUAAAAUGUUCCACGUGUGGGAUUUUGUAUGUACCAUAUGAAUAAGGAUCGGCUAACUCCGUGCCAGCAGCCGCGGUAAUACGGAGGAUCCGAGCGUUAUCCGGAUUUAUUGGGUUUAAAGGGAGCGUAGGUGGAUGGUUAAGUCAGUUGUGAAAGUUUGCGGCUCAACCGUAAAAUUGCAGUUGAAACUGGCAGACUGGAGUACAGUAGAGGUGGGCGGAAUUCGUGGUGUAGCGGUGAAAUGCUUAGAUAUCACGAAGAACUCCGAUGGCGAAGGCAGCUCACUGGACUGCAACUGACACUGAGGCUCGAAAGUGUGGGGAGCAAACAGGAUUAGAUACCCUGGUAGUC